Balaenoptera ricei (Rice's whale) is the source of this 5664-nucleotide RNA transcript. It is a transcript of the gene named SLAM family member 5-like, with no coding region annotated. Lineage: Eukaryota; Metazoa; Chordata; Mammalia; Artiodactyla; Balaenopteridae. The record is from RefSeq and is a predicted model, not a curated record. The transcript is spliced from 9 exons.
AGAUGUGGCUGGGGUGAGAGUCACGGGCAAACAGGAGCCCUCCCAGGAGCUGGGGACAAGCUCAGGGCUCCUCCUCCCUCCCCAAAUCCUGAGCAGAUGGUUUACAGACCCAAACACAAGAGGACUAACACAAGAGGACUUAUAGGACAUGGAAGAGCGAAAAUAUGAAGCUUGCUCCCCAUCACUCUGAGAGGGACCAGUGGACCUUUCUUCCACAGCUGCACAGGCAGGCAGGCAGCCUGUGAUGGGGCCCUGCUCAGAAGACCCCCAUCUCUGCUGGGCCUCCCGGCUCCUGGGAUUCACCAGCCUACUCCUCAGCAUCUGCUGCACUGGGGUCAAGAGUUCUGGGACACAUGGUUCUGGAGUUCAGGAUUCUGGAGCCCAUGUUCAUCUGCACAGGGUUCGAGGAGGUUCUGUGUUGUUUCAUGUGAUCAGGAAGCAAGAAGCUAACCUGGAGGAGGUCACAUGGGGCUUUGGCCCUGACUCAAAUUACAGAGUCCUGCUGCGAGUCUAUGCUGGGGCAGACGCUCCCACUUGGGUCAGCCUCCAGGACAAGUACCAGCAGAGGGUCCAUGUGCCCGGCAUCUUGUCCCUGAAGAUUGAGAACCUGACCCCUGAGGACAGUGGACUGUACCGGGCUCGAGCCAGCUUCACUGGAGGAAUAGAACUUAACCAAGUUUUCCCCCUCACUGUCUAUGAGCCGGUGCCCCUUCCCCAGAUCCUGUUCAAGUUACCAUCCAUCACACCAAGCUGGUGCAAUGUCACCCUGGAGUGCAGAGCCUCAGGGGCCACAGAGGACCUGAACGUGACCUGGCAGAACAAGGGCCUCCCCAGGGAGCUGGAGCAGAGAGUGACACCGGGACCAGCCUCCAACUCCUGGACCUUGCCUGUGAACCUGCCCCUGAGCCAGCCCAAUGCCAGUCUCACCUGUGUGGUCAGCAACCAGGUGGACCAGAAAACUGCCACCUUAGACCUUGGGGAAGUCUGUGUCCAUGAUUCACAAGGACAGGUCAGUGCUGACCCCCUGCCAGGCAUCCUAGGGGCUGUCGUGGUUGUGCUGUUGAUCCUUGGAGGAGGACUGUACCUUUGGAAGACAUGUGAGAAGAAGAAGAAGAUGCAGACUGGAAGAGGUACAGAACUGCAGGAGGACCACAGGGACAAUGAUAGUGGCAUCCAGUAUGCGGAGCUGAGCCAGCAGGAGUCUCGAAAGGACAUGCACAAGGGUAUUGGUGAACAACAUUUAGAAGAAAAGGAGCCUGUUAAUACUGUCUACAGUGAGGUCCAUAAGCCAGAAAGAGAAGCCAUGAAGAUAAUUUAAUUGGAGGAGGUAGGAGAACUGGAACUCCUAGGACACCUCCACUCCGAGCUUGAUCCCUGCAGACACCUGCCUCUCUCAGCUCUGGUCCAGCUCCAGCCGCCGUGGUCUGCAUUACUCUGACCCUCCUGCCCUCGACUCCCUGGGCACACAUGGCCUUGUCACAGCCUCUGUCACCUCUCCAAGCUGCCUUCCCACUCAGGAUCCUCACCCUGCAGGAUGCGUGCUCUUUUUCCAUCACUGACUCAGCUCCUGAUAACUCUCCUCCUGAGGCUUCCCAAAGAGAACCUUCCUGCACAUGAUAAUCCCCACAGCCUCUGCUGAGUGGCUGCCGUGUGUCUUUCUGAGAACACAGCCCAGGCAUGGGGACCGUGUAGAAGAUAUUGACCACGCCGCAGAGGAGGGGGUUAGGACCUUGGUGCUGGAAGCUGAGUUGGGGGUCCGUGGAUGCAGCAUGGGCUGAACAGAAGGCUGAGAAGGAAAAAGAUGACAUCUCUCACUGGCAUCCCAGGUGACCGAUCAUGGCUGGGUAUCAGUGCCCAUCAGUCCAGAAGCAGUGUAAGAUGUGACCACUCAUUGACCCCUCCCACCCCCCACCUAAAGCAGAAGAGAAAAAAAAAUGAAAGAGGACGGGAACUUGACUUUCCAAGCCUAUCAUGAACCAGGUUUUGUCCCAGGCAUUUUAUAAAUAUCAUUUCUUCUUAUUCUUACAAGAACACUCUAGGGUAGGUAUUACUAUCCCCAUUUUGCAGGACAAGUAACCAAUGUCCCAAAAUAGUUGGUGGCAGAGCAAAGCCUUAAAUCCAACACUGGACAAUUCCAGCAUUCAUAUCUUAUCCUUUGCCACAUGGUCACUGAAGACCUUGUAAUCCUGGAGUAUUCAGAGGAGAAUAUCCUCCAUUUGUUCCUCUUCCAAGGAUCCUGGUCUUCUGACUCAGGUGCCCCAACUUGGAAUGAGUUCAUCCUGAUGAUGGAUGGAGCAGUUGGUGGUUGAAAGAGGAAUUGUCCCUUCAGUGGACAGUGGAGUAGGAGAUGUGGGUGGGAGACAUGGAAUGAGAGACCCUGCCCUCUGGCUCAGAUGAGACAUUCAAAGCAGAGAUGCUUCUUCCUCUUGGGUCUUGUGGGAGUUACUUCCUCUCAUUCAAUGUGUGUUGUGGCUUUCAGCAUCCCUAUUCUCAAGCCAACUUCCUUAUCCAUUAUUAUUCAUAACUUCAUUCAACAAUUAUGUGAGGCAGAAAUCCUCAGUGUACAAAUGGAAAAUUAAAAUCCAGAGAUGUUAAGUACCCUACGGAAGUUCUCCCAAGUGUAAGUGAUGUAGGCAUAUCAGGGGGUAAUAAUUUCACACAUUGUGAUUCCUUUCUCUCUGUCAUCCCAGACAUCCAACCAGUUACCGUCUUCCAUUGGGUUAUUCUUCAUAAAGCUUCUUGUACUCCGUUCUCCUCUUAUUCUUUCAUUCCCAUCUUAUACCUGCAGCUGCACCAUUUUUACAUUUCCACCAGCAAUGUAUGAGAAUUUCUCCACAUCAUCUCCAACUCUUGUUAUUUUUUGAUUGUAGCCAACCUAGUGCUGGUGAAGUGGUAUCUCAUUGUGGUUAUGAAUUGCAUUUCUCAAAUGAUUCAUGUUGAACAUGUUUUCAUGAGCAUAUUGACCAUUUGUAUACUUUAUUUGAAGAAAUUUCUUUCUCUCUCGAACUGUCUCUUGUCAUCCAUUGCCCCUACCUCUCCAUUGAGUCUGCUUUUGUCCAGUCACCAGGGAACAUCAUGUUGUUAAAUCCAGUGGUCAAUUCUCAAUCCUCAUUUCCCAUAACGUCUCAGCCGCAGUGGACCUAUAUUUUCUAGAAACACUGUUUUCACUUUGCAUUCACUAUUCACAUUAUUUUCCUCCUACUGGGUGGUUGCUCCUUAGUUUCCUUUAUCAGUAUCUUUCCGUUAUCUCCAACUUCUAAAUUUUGGAAUAACCCAGGGUUCAUACCCAGACCACCCAGACCACGUCUCUUCACUGUCUACACUCAUUUCUUUUUGACGUUACGGCCAUGCAGUAAUCCCAUGACUACAUGACCUUAUGUGGCAAAAGGGACUUAAAGAUAUGAUCCCUCCCCUGGACUCCACAUUGUAAAUAUCCAACGGUUUACUUGACAUCUCCACUUGCGCGUAUAACAAGCAUCCCCAUCUUGACAUGUCUAAAUUCAAACUCCCCAAACAUGCUUCCUAUACAAUUUCUGAUCCCUCCAAACGUCACCUCAAUCCUUCCAUUUUUUCUGGCCACAAAACCUUGGUGUCAUCCUUGACUUCAUUCUUUUUCUCACACCCCACCCUCUAUCUCUAUUAGAAAAUACUGAUAUCUUUUCAUUCUAUAUAUAUUCAAAUAUUUAAUUUCAUAUACCUAUAUGAAAAAAUUACAUUUAUAAUAAAAUACCUCUCACCACCUCCCUAGUCCAAUAGGGUCAUCAUUUCUCACCUGGAUUACUGAAGUAGCCUCUGAGUCUCUUACUUUUGUCUUUAAUCCUUUAAUGUCUAUUUUCAUAAUAUCACCCAGAUUUAUCUUUUCAGAACCUAAGUUAUGUCACAUUACUCGUUAGCUCAGAACUACCCCAUGGGCCCACUUUAUCUGGAAGGCCCUGUAUCAGCUGACCUCAUCUCCCAUGCUCCCCUCCUUCCUAAUCCACUCUAGGACACUGGGCUCCUUGCCAUUCCUUCAAUACUACAUGCAUGCUCCUUCCACAAGGCCUUUGCUCUCUAGAAUUCUCUCCCUCUAGGUAUCCACAUGUCUCAUCUCCUCACCUCCUUCAGGUCUCUGUACAGAUGUUAACUCUUCAGUAAGACCUACCCUGACCUCCCUAUGUAAAACUGCAAACUCUUCCUGAUGCCUUCCUCCCUCCUCCAUGGUCUAUUUUUCUCCAUAGUACUUUCACAAGGCUGUGUGACAGGGUACAUUUAUUCUGGGCUGUAGUUUAAAGACAGGUGGGUAUUGAGGCCUCAAAGUAUAAACUGCAGUCCUAUUACGCAAAUACCAUUAUUAUUCCCAGGAAACUGCAACACUGAUAAAUUAAUGAACUUACUCAAUGUCACAUAACUAAUAGGUGGCAGAGCUGGAAUUGAAAUCUUGGAGUUGGAUUCUAAAGCUCUUAACCACUGUAUACUAGUUAAAUAAAGUAUACUCUCUCCACAUGAGGGAAUACUAUUUAUGUAAUAAGGAGAAUAAGUUACAAAUUACAUCUUUAUAUAUUUGAACGUAAAGUUGCCCAUGAAAUAUUAAAUGAGUUAUGGAACAUGCAUAGUGUUAUCCUAUAUUGUAAAUAUAUAUAAAUAUGUUUAUGUAGGCAUAAAAUAGUCUAAAAGCUAGUAGGUUAAGAAGUUAACAGUGGUUAUCUUCUGCGGUCUGUCUCUUUUUCUGUAUCAUCAGUUUCUUUAUAACACUAAUCAAACAAAUUACCUAUUAAAAAUUUUUAGCAGGACAGUGACAUGAUCAGAGCUGUGCUUCAGAUAGAUAAAGCCAUAUAUACACCAACAGGAAGUUUAUCAUCUAAACCAGUUAACGUACUUAUGCUUAUUUUUACUUUCUUUUGUAUUGAUUGAUGCCUUCAGGAUCUUUAUUGAAAUAACCCCAAAUAUGUCUAGAUCUGUCUUUAUAGUACAGGCAAAGUGGUCUGAUUGAUCCAAAUGGACGCUCCCCGUGAAUUGCGUACAAUCUGGGCUGUUCAUUAGAUCAACUGGAGAGCUUUCAGGAACAGAUACUUGGACUCUAUCCUGAAACUGGGCACCAUCUAUAUUUUUUAAAAACUCAAUAGGUGAUUCUGAUUCAUGAUCAGGCUUUAGAACUGAAACCUUGGGCCUACAUGAACUCUCCAUAAAAUUCAAAUGGGAAUGUACAUGGCAAAGAAAGGCUGUGAGUUUGUCUUCCAAGAUGUUUCUCAGUGUGUGCUAGUAUGUAGGUCAGUAAAUGUUGGUUGAGUGAAGGAAUGAGUGAAUGACAAAGCCCUACAGUUUGGCAUUACAGUUGACUCUUGAACAACGUAGGGGGCUCCCACCCCCUGAGCAGUCAAAAAUUCACAUAAAACUUUACAAUCAGCCCCCUGUAUUCAUAGUACCACAUCCACGGGUUCAAGCAUCCAUGGAUCAUGCAGUACUGUUGUACACGUUUAUUGAAGAAAAUCAGCAUAUAUGUGGACCUGCGCAGUUCAAACUCAUCUGGUUCAAGGGUCAACUGUACUUUGAUGUGUUCACCAUGUGUUCAGAGUCUGACAUGUAGAUUCUUAGCCAAAGCCCAGAAUUUCCAUUUCAUCCAUUGCCCUUUUGCCUUGGGGAUGCAAAAUCUUGAUAAUAAAUGUUAAAAGACACUGGUAAACAAAA